CCCGCCGCCGCCCGCGGCUCCUCCGUCCGCCGCCCCGCCGCCUGCACCUCCCCCGGGCGGGGCCGCCCCGGGACGGGCAGCUCUCCCCCCCACCCCUCGCCGCCCCGCCCCGCGCCGCCCCCCGCCCUCGGCCCCUCGGCAGCCGCGGCGGGUGGUGGUCGCGCCGUCGGGGCGCGGGGUCUGCCCGAGCCGAGAGAUGGGGAGCGGGCGCGUGGUGUCCCUGCAGGAAGGGUUCACCCACACCACCAACUGCCCCCACUGCCCGCAGCAUCCAUCCUGGGGCUGGGCACCAAGAUGCUCUUAAGGCUGAGCUGACCAACCUGCUGCUGGUGGCAUCCUGUGGUCCAUGGCUGCACAUGUUCCCAGAAGGCAAAUGCAACUGUUGAAUCCC
RNAcentral lists this long non-coding RNA (391 nucleotides) under Coturnix japonica (Japanese quail). RNAcentral's name for it is "lncRNA (ENSCJPG00005006306.1)". Lineage: Eukaryota; Metazoa; Chordata; Aves; Galliformes; Phasianidae. The record is from RNAcentral.